Molecule: transfer RNA, 76 nt
Filed under: Miniphocaeibacter halophilus
Lineage: Bacteria; Bacillati; Bacillota; Tissierellia; Tissierellales; Peptoniphilaceae
Also listed under: 3 other names
Description: tRNA-Thr
Rfam family: tRNA
About the family: Transfer RNA (tRNA) molecules are approximately 80 nucleotides in length.
Source: RNAcentral
GCUGAUGUAGCUCAAUUGGUAGAGCAACUGACUUGUAAUCAGUAGGUUGGGGGUUCAAGUCCUCUCAUCAGCUCCA